GUGCCAGCCGCCGCGGUAACACGUAGGGGGCGAGCGUUGUCCGGAAUUACUGGGCGUAAAGGGUGCGUAGGCGGCCUUAUAAGUCAUGUGUGAAAAACCCGGGCUCAACCCGGGUAUUGCAAGUGAAACUAUAGGGCUUGAGUGCAGGAGAGGGAAGUGGAAUUCCUAGUGUAGCGGUGAAAUGCGUAGAGAUUAGGAGGAACACCAGUGGCGAAGGCGGCUUCCUGGACUGCAACUGACGCUGAGGCACGAAAGCGUGGGGAGCAAACAGGAUUAGAUACCCUGGUAGUCCACGCCGUAAACGCUGGAUACUAGGUGUAGGUACCGAUGAGGUAUCUGUGCCGUAGUUAACGCAAUAAGUAUCCCGCCUGGGGAGUACGGCCGCAAGGCUGAAACUCAAAGGAAUUGACGG
Molecule: ribosomal RNA, 412 nt
Filed under: uncultured bacterium
Lineage: Bacteria
Description: bacterial SSU rRNA
Rfam family: Bacterial small subunit ribosomal RNA
Source: RNAcentral